Molecule: ribosomal RNA, 253 nt
Filed under: uncultured bacterium
Lineage: Bacteria
Description: partial 16S ribosomal RNA
Rfam family: Bacterial small subunit ribosomal RNA
Source: RNAcentral
UACGUAGGGUCCGAGCGUUGUCCGGAGUUACUGGGCGUAAAGCGCGCGCAGGCGGUCACGCAGGCCAUCUGUUAAAGCACCCGGCUCAACCGGGUUGUUGCGGGUGAAACCGCGUGACUUGAGGGUGGGAGAGGUCGGUGGAAUUCCCGGUGUAGUGGUGAAAUGCGUAGAUAUGCGGAGGAACACCGAUGGCGAAGGCAAUCCCCUGGACCUGUACUGACGCUCAUGCACGAAAGCGUGGGGAGCAAACAGG